This is an unclassified non-coding RNA of Callithrix jacchus (white-tufted-ear marmoset), 391 nucleotides long. It matches the Rfam family "Metazoan signal recognition particle RNA". From Rfam's summary of the family: The signal recognition particle (SRP) is a universally conserved ribonucleoprotein. It is involved in the co-translational targeting of proteins to membranes. The eukaryotic SRP consists of a 300-nucleotide 7S RNA and six proteins: SRPs 72, 68, 54, 19, 14, and 9. The record is from Ensembl. NCBI's taxonomy places the organism in Eukaryota, Metazoa, Chordata, Mammalia, Primates, Cebidae.
GCCAGGUGUGGUGGCACAUCCCUGUAGUCCCAGUUACUCGGGAGACUGAGGCAGGAGAAUUGCUGGAACCCAGGAGGUGGAGGUUGCAGUGAGCCAAGAUUGUGCCACUGCACUCCAACCUGGGCAAUAGAGUGGGACUCCGUCUCAAAAAAUAAAUAAACAAAAUAAAAUAGAGGGCCAGGUGUGGUCCCUCACACUUGUAAUCCCAGCACUUUAGGAAGCCCGGAGUUUGAGACCAGCCUGAGCACCACCAGGUUGCCAAAGGAGGGGUGAACUGGCCCCAGAUCGGAAACGGAGCAGGUCAAAACUCCGGUGCUGAUCAGUAGUGGGAUAGAGCCUGUGAAUAGCCACUGCACUCCAGCCUGUGCAACAUAGCGAGACCCUGUCUCUU